AUGGAGUGCAGAAUUUCUUGCAUCCAAUUGAACAAACAAAACUGAAUAUUUGCCAAGAGGAGUGUUUAUUUAAAGACUAUCCUUGUGACGAGGAUGUCUUUCAACUGUGUGUAGAACUCAUGACUGAGCAUAACCUUGUCAUGUCAGAUGAUGUUUAUGAAAUUACAGACCUUUACCUCCAGCUUCGCGAAUUGAUCCUUCAAGGACUGGACGCUGAGGACUAGAUUCACCAUUCUAAAUUAAUAAACAUCACUAUAAGCUGUGAAGUGUUGAAUUGCAGCCUUAGCACCACAUUACUCUUCCUACCCCCCUUGGACCACUAGAGAGAACACUGGAGUGGCACACGCCCAUCUCCUUGAAGUUCACUCUGAGGUCACAGCCAUUCAUGAGGCAACAGAGUAUCAACGGCUUCACUGGAGCUUCUAGCAUGCUGUGAAAUUGAUAUCUUGUUAUCUGUUUAUUUUCAGAGUUAUAACAUGGCAAAAGCACAACCAUCAGAAUAAGAGGCAUAGAUGUAAUUAUAACACUUAGAAUUUUUUUCAAACAAUUGUAAAAAGUUUGCCUUAUUUUUUAUUUUAUUUUUCCAGCCACAGUAAUUUACAUGCAUGAUUUAUUGCAUUGCAUUAUACUGUCAAUACUUCAAACUUGAAUACAAAUGAAGUGCAGCAAGCCUUUUUAGAUGGACAAGUCAAGACAAUGUUUUGAACCUAAAAACUAAUGUAUUUAUGGCUUGAAACUGUUCAAAUUUGAUGGAUUUCUCUUCUGUUUAACAUUGACUUUCAAGACUUUAAAGGGGCAGGGGACUGAAAAUAUGAACAAAAAUGGGUUUAUAGGUAAAUUGAUGUUAUUUGUAUUAUCCCUGAAAUAAAUUAUUAAGAACUGAAUUUCUUAUGGUAUUUAGAUUAUUAACUGUAACCUUGUUGUGGUACAUUGCUCAAAACAAAACCUUAAACUUUCUUCUCAGAAUG
Non-coding RNA from Pimephales promelas (fathead minnow), 968 nucleotides. The record is from RefSeq and is a predicted model, not a curated record. NCBI's taxonomy places the organism in Eukaryota, Metazoa, Chordata, Actinopteri, Cypriniformes, Leuciscidae.